UAAAUAAUAAAAAGAAAAAUGAACAGAAAUUAAAUAAAAAUUUUGAUUAUUUCUUAUUUAUAAGAAUUAAAGGUGUGUAUGUUUUUGUUAUUAAAAAUAUAUAUAAUGAAAAUACAAAAUAUAUAUCAAAAAUAAGAUAAAUAAAAAUAUUUACAGUAGUGAAUUUUUUUUAGAAUAAAAAUAAAAAUAUUAAAACACGACCUCAGGUUAGGUGAGACUACCCGCUGAAUUUAAGCAUAUUAAUAAGCAGAAAAA
Molecule: ribosomal RNA, 255 nt
Filed under: Hycleus cichorii
Lineage: Eukaryota; Metazoa; Arthropoda; Insecta; Coleoptera; Meloidae
Description: partial 28S ribosomal RNA
Source: RNAcentral